RNAcentral lists this long non-coding RNA (1915 nucleotides) under Mytilus galloprovincialis (Mediterranean mussel). The record is from RNAcentral. Lineage: Eukaryota; Metazoa; Mollusca; Bivalvia; Mytilida; Mytilidae.
UAAUGUGCAUACUAAUUUCUGAAUUUACAGUAUAUUGUGUGCUAUUUAUUUGAUAAGUCAAUUGUUAAAAAUUGUUACUGCCAAUGAGGAUAAAUAAUGAUUUUUAUGUUUCUGAACUGUAAAGCUAAGGUGAUACAUAGGGAUCAAUUCUGUUAUCUUGAAUCUUUCAUCCACACUUUUACAAUGAGUCACUUCUUUGAAAACAGUUGACCAAAUGAGACUAAAUAUACACAAAUUCUAAUACCUCUACCGUUGUAUUGUAUUCAACUGGAUUUACACAGAUUCGUUUAUCCAAAUGUGCACCUCCAUUUAUAUAUUUUUUUUAAAGCAAUUUUAGGAGUUUUCCAUACAUGACACUUAAUCUUCUCUGGUUAUAUCAGUUGCUCAAUUUUUAGCUCACCUGUCACGACGGGACAAGUGAGCUUAUGCCAUCACUUGGCGUCCGUCGUCGUCCGUCGUCUGUCGUCUGUCGUCGUCUGUCGUCGUAAACUAUUUCAAGAAUCUUCUCCUCUGAAACUACUGGGCCAAAUACUUUCAAACUUUAACUGAAUGUUCCUUAGGGUAUCUUAUUUAUAAAUUAUAUCCGAAGUUUUGAUCUAUCAACAAACAUGGUCGCCAUUGCUAAAAAUAGAACAUAGGGGUCAAAUGCAGUUUUUGGCUUAUAACUCAAAAACCAAAGCAUUUAGAGCAAAUCUGACAUGGGGUUAUAUUGUUUAUCAGGUCAAGAUCUAUCUGCCCUGAAAUUUUCAGAUGAAUCAGACAACCCGUUGUUGGGUUGCUGCCCCUGAAUUGGUAAUUUUAAGGAAAUUUUGCUGUUUUUGGUUAUUAUCUUGAAUAUUAUUAUAGAUAGAGAUAAACUGUAAACAGGAAAAUGUUCAGCAAAGUAAGAUUUACAAAUAAGUCAACAUGAAGGAAAUGGUCAGUUGACCCCUUUAGGAGUUAUUGCCCUUUAUAGUCAAUUUUUAACCAUUUUUCGUAAAUCUUAGUAAUCUUUUACAAAAAUCUUCUCCUCUGAAACUACUGGGCCAAAUACUUCCAAACUUUAAUUGAAUGUUCCUUAGGGUAUCUAGUCUGUAAAUUGUAUCCGAAGUUAUGAUCUAUCAACAAACAUGGUCGCCAUUGCUAAAAAUAGAACAUAGGGGUCAAAUGCAGUUUUUGGCUUAUAACUCAAAAACCAAAGCAUUUAGAGCAAAUCUGACGUUGGGUAAUAUUGUUUAUCAGGUCAAGAUCUAUCUGCCCUGAAAUUUUCAGAUGAAUCAGACAACCUGUUGUUGGGUUGCUGCCCCUGAAUUGGUAAUUUUAAGGAAAUUUUGCUGUUUUUGGUUAUUAUCUUGAAUAUUAUUAUAGAUGGAGAUAAACUGUAAACAGGAAUAAUGUUCAGCAAAGUAAGAUUUACAAAUAAGUCAACAUGACGGAAAUGGUCACUUGACCCCUUUAGGAGUUAUUGCUCUUUAUAGUCAAUUUUUAACCAUUUUUCGUAAAUCUUAGUAAUCUUUUACAAAAAUCUUCUCCUCUGAAACUACUGGGCCAAAUACUUCCAAACUUUAACUGAAUGUUCCUUAGGGUAUCUAGUUUGUAAAUUGUAUCCGAAGAUAUGAUCUAUUAACAAACAUGGUCGCCAUUGCUAAAAAUAGAAUAUAGGGGUCAAAUGCAGUUUUUGGCUUAUAACUCAAAAACCAAAGCAUUUAGAGCAAAUCUGACGUGGGUAAUAUUGUUUAUCAGGUCAAGAUCUAUCUGCCCUGAAAUUUUCAGAUGAAUCAGACAACCUGUUGUUGGGUUGCUGCCCCUGAAUUGAUAAUUUUAAGGAAAUUUUGCUGUUUUUGUUUGUUAUCUUGAAUAUAAUUAUAGAUAGAAAUAAACUGUAAACAGCAAUAAUGUUCAGCAAAGUAAGAUCUUCAAUUAAGUCAAUUUGACC